RNAcentral lists this ribosomal RNA (428 nucleotides) under uncultured bacterium. RNAcentral describes it as "bacterial SSU rRNA". It matches the Rfam family "Bacterial small subunit ribosomal RNA", at positions 29 to 438 of the family's 1533-position model. The record is from RNAcentral.
AACGAACGCUUGCGGCGUGCUUAACACAUGCAAGUCGAACGAGAAAGGGGACUUCGGUUCCCGAGUAAAGUGGCGCACGGGUGAGUAACGCGUAGAUAAUCUACCCUAGUGUACGGGACAACAACGGGAAACUGGUGCUAAUACCGGAUACGCUUCAGAGAUCGCGAGAUUUUUGAAGGAAAGAUGGGGACCUUUCGGGGCCUAUCGCACAAGGAUGAGUCUGCGUACCAUUAGCUAGUAGGUGGGGUAACGGCCCACCUAGGCGACGAUGGUUAGCGGGUCUGAGAGGAUGAUCCGCCACACUGGCACUGGAACACGGGCCAGACUCCUACGGGAGGCAGCAGUGAGGAAUUUUGCACAAUGGGGGAAACCCUGAUGCAGCGACGCCGCGUGAGUGAUGAAGGCUUUCGAGUCGUAAAACUCUGUCA